GACGUAGGGCGCGAGCGUUGUCCGGAUUUAUUGGGCGUAAAGAGCUCGUAGGCGGCUUGUCGCGUCGGCUGUGAAAACCCGCGGCUCAACUGUGGGCGGGCAGCUGAUACGGGCAGGCUGGAGUUCGGUAGGGGAGACUGGAAUUCCUGGUGUAGCGGUGAAAUGCGCAGAUAUCAGGAGGAACACCGGUGGCGAAGGCGGAUCUCUGGGCCGUAACUGACGCUGAGGAGCGAAAGCGUGGGGAGCGAACAGG
RNAcentral lists this ribosomal RNA (253 nucleotides) under uncultured bacterium. RNAcentral describes it as "partial 16S ribosomal RNA". It matches the Rfam family "Bacterial small subunit ribosomal RNA", at positions 524 to 776 of the family's 1533-position model. The record is from RNAcentral.